GCACUGUAGCAGAGUCGUGUUCGUCAAUUGGGCGGUCCGCAGAGUGCCGCAAUCUCAAUUUUAGGGCUCUGGGGUCUUUUUGCAGUCGGAGGCGCCGAUCUUAUGUUAAAAGUGUCAAAUGUGAUUUACAAGCUCCGUAAUGUAUUCUAGCACGAAUUCAACUAAUGAAAGAGUUUGGAUGAUAAGAAUGACAGAGAAGUUGAUUUGGCCGCUUUAGAGAAGUGCUAGUUGUCGAGAAUGUUGUUUAAGGACUGCAGGCUCGAGGUGAGAGUGUGGAUAUGCACUGUAAACGACCUCGUUAAUUUAGGCAAAGUAUU
Molecule: long non-coding RNA, 317 nt
Organism: Phalaenopsis equestris
Lineage: Eukaryota; Viridiplantae; Streptophyta; Magnoliopsida; Asparagales; Orchidaceae
Exons: 3
Source: RefSeq, a predicted model, not a curated record